RNAcentral lists this ribosomal RNA (885 nucleotides) under uncultured bacterium. RNAcentral's name for it is "bacterial SSU rRNA". It matches the Rfam family "Bacterial small subunit ribosomal RNA", at positions 9 to 873 of the family's 1533-position model. The record is from RNAcentral.
GAGUUUGAUUCCUGGUCUCAGGGAUGAACGCUAGUUCCCGGGCUUAACCCCCUCCAAUUUGGGGGGAAACGUUAUGAAAAGCUUGGUUUUUUUAGGGUGUCGCCCGGGGAAUGGGUGAGUAAGGGGUUUCCCACCCUGCCCUUGAUUAAGGAUUAGCCCCACGAAAGGAUGGAUUAUUCCCUUUAUGUUCUCCUUGGCAGCCAUCUAUUUAGGAGUAAAGAUUUAUCGCUGAGGGAUGGGGAUGCGUCUGAUUAGCUUGGUGGGCGGGUAACGGCCCCACCAAGGCAACGAUCAGUAGGGGUUCUGGGAGGAAGGUCCCCCACCAUUGGUACUGAGACACGACCCAAACUCNUACGNGAGGCAGCAGUGAGGAAUAUUGGUCAAUGGGCGGAAGCCUGAACCAGCCAAGUAGCGUGCAGGAUGACUGCCCUAUGGGUUGUAAACUGCUUUUAUACGGGGAUAAAGUCAGAGUCGUGACUCUGUUUGCAGGUACCGUAUGAAUAAGGACCGGCUAAUUCCGUGCCAGCAGCCGCGGUAAUACGGAAGGUCCAGGCGUUAUCCGGAUUUAUUGGGUUUAAAGGGAGCGUAGGCCGGAGAUUAAGUGUGUUGUGAAAUUUAGGCGCUCAACGUCUGCACUGCAGCGCAUACUGGUUUCCUUGAGUACACGCAACGUUGGCGGAAUUCGUCGUGUAGCGGUGAAAUGCUUAGAUAUGACGAAGAACUCCAAUUGCGAAGGCAGCUGACGGGAGUGCAACUGACGCUGAAACUCGAAAGUGCGGGUAUCGAACAGGAUUAGAUACCCUGGUAGUCCGCACGGUAAACGAUGGAUGCCCGCUAUUCGCUCGAAUGAGUGAGUGGCCAAGCGAAAGCAUUAAGCAUCCCACC